RNAcentral lists this ribosomal RNA (327 nucleotides) under uncultured eukaryote. RNAcentral's name for it is "partial 18S ribosomal RNA". It matches the Rfam family "Eukaryotic small subunit ribosomal RNA", at positions 1470 to 1796 of the family's 1831-position model. The record is from RNAcentral.
CCCUUAGAUGUCCUGGGCCGCACGCGCGCUACACUGACAUGUUCAACAAGCCUCCUAGUUCGACAGGAUUUGGGAAAUCUUUGAACGCAUGUCGUGAUAGGGAUAGAUCAUUGCAAUUAUUGAUCUUGAACGAGGAAUUCCUAGUAAACGCGAGUCAUCAGCUCGCAUUGAUUACGUCCCUGCCCUUUGUACACACCGCCCGUCGCUCCUACCGAUUGAAGUUUUCGGUGAGUUGACAGGAGGAUUUUUUUGAAACUGGUUCGCCAGUGGAUUUUAGAUCCAAAUGCCAACGAAUCGAUGGCUUUAGAGGAAGGAGAAGUCGUAACA